Molecule: long non-coding RNA, 3840 nt
Organism: Pseudoliparis swirei
Lineage: Eukaryota; Metazoa; Chordata; Actinopteri; Perciformes; Liparidae
Exons: 8
Source: RefSeq, a predicted model, not a curated record
GUCAGAUAACGAUGAUAGUAAGUGCAAAAAUACAAUAGAAAUAUGACGUUCAUCCAACAUACAGCAUAUAUUUGUUUGGCAAUUGUAGCAUUUAAAGGAACAGUAUAAUCCACAGUCAGAGAGAAACCCAACAGGAAUAAGAGUGAAUAGAAAACAUAUUUAAAUAUUAUAAAUACACAUUUGUUUAUGAUGAGUGUGAAAUAUCCCAAUUAUUAUUCACAGCUGUCUUAGCUAGACGUGCCACAUCUGGCAAGUCAAAUACAGACAUCACACAUCUACUUUAUAUUUGUGUUAUUUGAUGGUGUCCUGUUAAAAAGCUCAUGUUUAGUUGGCAGCUAAAGUCAUUUUAUUUGUACAUUUUCCAUUGAAUUCCUGUUCUUUAUUUAUUGUUAUUAUACUUGAUUACUACAAGGUUAUGAGUUUGAAGAACGCCCAGUUAAUCCUGGUUGAUCUUUGCCCUUCUCUGUCCAAGGUACUUCUCUCUGGCUGCAGAUACAAUUUGCCAAGAUGCAGGACUGAUAGACUCUGGAAUGAAUUUGUCCCUGCUGUCAUUGGCCUUUUAAAUAACUCAAUGAAAUCAUCAUUUUGUAUUUAUUGUUAAUUCUUUGUCUGAUGGUUAUGUGAUUGGUUUCUGUUGUCAGGUAUUAUAAAGAUAUUUUUGAAAUAUGCACUUAGCGGCAAACAGGUCAUGAGGAAAGUGCAACGUUUUGAUCCUUGUGUUAUACAUAGUACACCAAACCAUUAUGAGAUGGGCAAUCCAUCGUUUGUGAUAACAUCAUGUGUUAUUAUCAUUUCUUUUCUGCCAGGUGACAAUGGAUACUUGAAACUAAGAGUGGUUGGUGGAGAUGAGGAGGAAGUGUUCUUCAUAAACACAGCUGGCGCUUUGUGUCUGAACACAGAGUUAGACAGAGAGAGACAACCCCGCUACGAUCUGACUGACGGCCAAUGACCGUGCCCCGACUGUGUCGUUAGCGUUCACCAGCACAGCACAUGUCAUUGUUGUGGUUGAUGAUGUCAAUGACAACGCUCCAUUGUUUGUGUCAGCAAAAAUAGUCAACAUACCAGAGGACACUGCACUUCAUUCUGUCAUAAUGACUGCGCAUGCUGAGGACGAAGACAUUGGAUCCAACGGGGAAGUUUUAUAUUAUUUGAACAACACUUCUGGUGGCAAGUUUAGCAUCGAUAACAGGAGUGGAAAAAUAUACCUGGAGGAGGCAUUAGACAGAGAACAGGUCGACAGCCUGACUAUUACUGUAACAGCCAUUGAUGAAGGCUCACCUAGAAUGGCAACCAGUAUGAAUCUCACGGUGCACGUUGAGGACGCAAAUGACCAUGACCCAGAGUUCUCUCAAAGCACCGACAGCGUGACAAUCAGAGAGGACAUCCCCAGAGGAACGAGCCUGUUCCAGGUGCAGGCUCUUGAUCGAGACAUCGGGACAAAUGGACACGUUGGGUACAUACUGACCCAGGAGAGUCCGUUUGUGGCGGACGCGGUUCGAGGUGUCAUCACAGUCAUGGACAAACUGGAUAAGGAGAGGGAUUCAAACUACACCUAAAUCAUAACAGCUGUAGAUAAGGGGAACGCAAUCAGGUCUGCCACGGCUGCUGUCAGUGUCACAGUGCUGGAUGUCAACGACUUUGCACCCCUCUUUACUCCACAAACACUGACCAUGCAUGUCACAGAGAAUGAUGAAGACCCCGCUGAGCUCACACGUCAGUUAUCAGCUUCGGAUGAAGAUGUAGGCGUCAACAGCCAACUGACCUAUUUUAUACAGAAAGGAAAUGGUGACAGUUUGUUCUCCAUCACUCCCAGUGGCACGUUCCACAUUUUACACAGCCUGGACAGAGAGGGAAUCAUCUUAUUUCGUCAAUAUCGUUGCUGUUGACUCAGGAUUGCCACCUCUAACAGGAACUCUAAGCAUACUCGUCAUAGUGGAUGAUGUCAAUGAUAACCGUCCAGAGUUUACUCAGGAAGUCUUCAACACCAUAGUGUCUGAGGACAGCCCCCCAGGCACUGUGUUUGCCAUGAUAACGGCAUGUGACCUUGAUGAGGGAAUCAGUGGGGAAAUAAGGUAACAUAUAUAAAGUCCCUCACAAAUUUGAGUGCAAUGUUGAGAAGUACCGUCUCUAAUAAAAACUUUAAAUAUCACUAACGCUAGGCAUUUGCUGAGGCCUUUUGCAUUGUGUUUCUGGUGGUGGAGCAUUGAGAUCAAAGUCUCCUGGAUUGUACAGUAUAUGUGUUGUAAUGAUUUAUACUUAAUCCUAAUUCACUGAUGGACUGUUACAUCUUUUAACUCUCCUAUAGGUUUUUUAUAGAGAACUUUAAUGUGCCCUUUGACAUUGAAGGUGGACAGGCAUGAAGAACUGGUUUCAGUUCAAAACAUCAUUUUCAGUUUUUGACUUGGACGUUAUAUAGUUUAGUUGUCUUGUUUUUUUCUGAACGAAAAGAUACAAAUGGAUGAACACUUCAGGGACUGCUGUGCUGCCUUCAGGGUCCUGCAGGCUGGAGCUCAGGAGCAGCUCUUGUGGGACUACUGGAGGACCUCAGAGGCAUUGUCUGGGAACCUGGAGAACACCAGCGCCUCAAGGACCAAGUUCAACAACGAUAUAACCAUCGAGUUGGAUUUGUUCCACUGCAUGCGGCGCUUCAGUCUCGGAGCAUCACUCUCUCUAUAGGGAUAGUGUCUCAUGAUGUACAAGUUGUAAUGUCCUCGAGGUGGAUUUGUGAUAUUAUAAAAAUGUAAAUGACAAGAGAAGAACACUGAUCAUGUUUCCUCUUCCUUUGCUUAAUAUGUAAAUCAUCUGUUUUUUUGUUUGCUGUAAGGACAAUGGAGGAUCUUAAAGGUGAAAACACUGGAGAGAAGUGCUACCCCUCUUCAAAAAAGGAAAGUGACCUCCAGGCUUCUCUUCAUUCUAGCAAGGAACAGAAUCGGAGGCUAAAAAUCGGAACAUUGUGUCGACACUUGUGAGACCGUCUGCCCGUUGUCAAUGUCCAGUUAGACACACAGCAACCACAUUAGAGCUCCCUGCGAGGUUAAGAAAGCAGGUGAGGAGACAGCGAGUAGUUUGAGGAAAAUCGUACAAAGUCCACAAAAGACACGAGGAACAGUGAGGCUAAAGAAGAAUAUUUCACACAAAGCAAAGCCAGCUGCUAAGAAGUCAACUGAGGAUCCUGUCUCAAGAAGAUUCCCUUAGUAGAAGAGUUGUCAAAAAGUAAAUUGGACAUCCAGCACACUAACCAAUCUUCUGACAAUGGAUCGAAUGAUUCCUCCUGACAGUCUGACCACAGUCCAUGCCCCGCCAAUACUGUUGGACAAAUCAUCUGUUGGACAAAUGCUGACAAUGUGCAACGAUACAUUUUUCUCUGCCUCGUUUCAGUCUGUGGAAAAUAACUGGAUACAGCUGACCUCUGCAUUUAUAAACCCAGCUUCAUGAUCAGAGAACCUUUUUUACCACAGGUGGGGUACCUAUAUUCAAGCCAUGUAUUAUGGGAUGUCAAUCCUGGCCUGGUGUAUCCCGUUGCUCUAAUUUGAUUGUUAAUUGGAUGAUGCUCUAUAAUAGCAACAUAAACAAUAUUAAGAAAGUUUAUGUUUUUGUCUUUCUUUCUCUCAUAUUGACAGCUUACAUAUAUAAAAAUGAACAAUUUCCGUUCUUACAUUACAUCUUUCACUGUGCAAUUCAGUUAACUUACCAUAUUCAAUGAAUAUGUAACGUUGCCGUUGGCUAGUUAUAGUUGAGUUCAUAGCCAAGUAGACUUAGCCUAACAUUAGUAUCCCAUGGUAUCAGUUAGGAGUGUGUUGAACAGGGUUUUGUUGGAGGAACUUGAUAGUUUUGACAGAA